GCCAGACUCCUACGGGAGGCAGCAGUGAGGAAUAUUGGUCAAUGGACGAGAGUCUGAACCAGCCAAGUAGCGUGAAGGAUGACUGCCCUAUGGGUUGUAAACUUCUUUUAUAUGGGAAUAAAAUGUUCCACGUGUGGGAUUUUGUAUGUACCAUAUGAAUAAGGAUCGGCUAACUCCGUGCCAGCAGCCGCGGUAAUACGGAGGAUCCGAGCGUUAUCCGGAUUUAUUGGGUUUAAAGGGAGCGUAGGUGGAUUGUUAAGUCAGUUGUGAAAGUUUGCGGCUCAACCGUAAAAUUGCAGUUGAAACUGGCAGUCUUGAGUACAGUAGAGGCGGGCGGAAUUCGUGGUGUAGCGGUGAAAUGCUUAGAUAUCACGAAGAACUCCGAUUGCGAAGGCAUCUCACUGGACUGCAACUGACACUGAGGCUCGAAAGUGUGGGUAUCCAACAGGAUUAGAUACCCCGGUA
Molecule: ribosomal RNA, 465 nt
Filed under: uncultured bacterium
Lineage: Bacteria
Description: partial 16S ribosomal RNA
Rfam family: Bacterial small subunit ribosomal RNA
Source: RNAcentral